RNAcentral lists this ribosomal RNA (396 nucleotides) under Parastrombidinopsis minima. RNAcentral describes it as "partial small subunit ribosomal RNA". It matches the Rfam family "Eukaryotic small subunit ribosomal RNA", at positions 30 to 432 of the family's 1831-position model. The record is from RNAcentral. Lineage: Eukaryota; Ciliophora; Spirotrichea; Choreotrichida; Strombidinopsidae.
GCUUGUCUCAAAGAUUAAGCCAUGCAUGUCUAAGUAUAAAUAGUAUACAGUGAAACUGCGAAUGGCUCAUUAAAACAGUUAUAGUUUAUUUGAUAAUUGAAAAUUACAUGGAUAACCGUGGUAAUUCUAGAGCUAAUACAUGCUAUCAAGCCCGACUUCUUGAAGGGUUGUAUUUAUUAGACUUAAGCCAAUAUUCCUCGUGUCUAUUGUGGUGACUCAUAGUAACUGAUCGGAUCGCACGGGCUUGCCCGCGACAAACCAUUCAAGUUUCUGCCCCAUCAGCUUUCGAUGGUAGUGUAUUGGACUACCAUGGCUUUUACGGGUAACGGAGGAUUAGGGUUCGAUUCCGGAGAGGGAGCCUGAGAAACGGCUACCACAUCUAAGGAAGGCAGCAGG